RNAcentral lists this ribosomal RNA (231 nucleotides) under uncultured bacterium. RNAcentral's name for it is "partial 16S ribosomal RNA". It matches the Rfam family "Bacterial small subunit ribosomal RNA", at positions 524 to 753 of the family's 1533-position model. The record is from RNAcentral.
GACAGAGGUGCCGAGCGUAGGCGGAAUCACUGGGCUUAAAGCGUGUGUAGGCGGACUUCUAAGUACCUUGUGAAAUCCCCCGGCUCAACCGGGGAACUGCUUGGUAUACUGGUUGUCUUGAGCCACUUAGGGGCAGUCGGAACAGACGGUGGAGCGGUGAAAUGCGUAGAUAUCGUCUGGAACGCCAAAGGUGAAAACAGAACUGCUGGGAGUGGUGCUGACGCUGAGACA